This is a long non-coding RNA of Eutrema salsugineum, 739 nucleotides long. RefSeq lists it as uncharacterized. The transcript has 5 exons. Lineage: Eukaryota; Viridiplantae; Streptophyta; Magnoliopsida; Brassicales; Brassicaceae. The record is from RefSeq and is a predicted model, not a curated record.
AAUUCGGCGAUUUCCUCUGGCCUCCAUCGCCUCUCUCACGAUUUUUUUCCAAGCUCAGAGAUUCUUUCAAUCCGGUAUCAACAACUCAACAACGGCGAAUCAAGCAGCUUCUGUAGGUGACUUUUUCAGAUCUACCGCAUCUCUCUUCUCCUUCACAGCCGAUAACAUUGAGACCUAAAAGGUGAAAGAGGACGCUCUAGCAAGAAGAUGAAGUACGGUGGGAAGGAUGAUCAAAAGAUGAUGAACAUCCAAAAUGAAUAAUAUUAUCUUGGUGAUGAUGCCGAUAAGGAUUCUCGUGAUGGUGAAGGAUAGAAGAAGGAUAGGAUUAUAGCAAAUUGGAGUUGAAGCCAUAUAUAUAAUGGAAACAUGCCUUUGUAUCGCCAUAGCUGAACCUAUUUGCAGGUCUAGCUCACAGGAACUCAGUGUGGGAGGCUCAUAAUGAAAUUUUGGUGACUAUAGAAAGGAUUUGAUGCUACUCGGUGGCUAGAUCGAACUUUUUAAAGCUGUUUACUUCUAAAUUCAAGUGACAUAGAUUCGGUUGUAGCAAGGUCAAUAAUCUCGGUAAUGGUGUUUCAUUUGUAACAUCUUCAUUUAAUCAAUAAUGGUAUAAUAAUAUCCUAAAUCUCGGGAGAGGCUGAUCUCUUUAAGAAAAUACAAAGUUUGCUUCUUUUACCACGUGCCCUUUUUGGGCUUGCAUGUAAUGUUGCUGUCACUUUAUAAUCAAGUGUUGUCGUUCAGA